AAAUCGAGUGAGCACCUCAACCGGCAGCCU
This 30-nucleotide small RNA is filed under the name Bombyx mori (domestic silkworm). Its description in RNAcentral is "ovarian small RNA-4204". Lineage: Eukaryota; Metazoa; Arthropoda; Insecta; Lepidoptera; Bombycidae. The record is from RNAcentral.